RNAcentral lists this long non-coding RNA (1231 nucleotides) under Manacus vitellinus (golden-collared manakin). RNAcentral's name for it is "lncRNA (ENSMVIG00005013738.1)". The record is from RNAcentral. Lineage: Eukaryota; Metazoa; Chordata; Aves; Passeriformes; Pipridae.
AUGAGAAAAAUGAUAACAUGGAGUUUCCUGUUCCUGUGCUGGACAGACACCACCCAUCAGAAAAUGCAUUUUCAGUUCCCUGGCAUGGACUGCAGCAACAGGACCAUCUGUGCUGCUCCUUUGACUUUGACAAGGCAGAUUUGCAUUAAGAGCAUUCCUGAUCCUUUGGCAGCCAUCCUCUCCUGCUGGUCACUGUGGCCAACCAACACCACUAUCUGCUGCAGCCUGUGACUGCAGAACUGGGCAGCCUGUGCUCAAGGAGAUAACUGUGAGUAGAAAUCAUUAACUCCCCUUUUCCUGCCUCUAAAUGAUACUCUGAGUAGCUGCUCUUCAUCCUUUCUCUCUACAACCAGGCCAGAGCUGCUCUUCCUUCUAACUCAGCUCAUGGCUGGGGGGGCAUUCCCCUCAAGGCAAGAGAUAACUUUUAUAUUCCUGCACUAAAUGUCUGAUUUUUCCAGAAGGGAAUGAUGGGCAGAAAAUACACUUGUCACUAUGUUUUAUCAGUACCCUGGUGAGUUACAGAGUAUUUACAGGGUGACUGAUAUUUUGCCUGUCUUUUCCCUCACAAUAGGCAAAAUUUUCAGAGAUUUGGCAAUUAAACAAAAGCAUGAUCCAAAAUAGGUCUGCAAUCACCAUGAGUAUCACUGAGUGGUGUUGUCUUCACCACAAAAUCCACUGUGAACUGGAAACACCAGAAUUCCUACCUGGAGACCAUUUGACUUAUCAGUCACUGGUUACAUGAAACCAGGCUUGUUCUUUUCAGCCUUCCAAAGCCUUUGGAUCCAUAUGAAAAAUCUUCCCUUAGGAUAAUUUUAACUUUGCUCAUACUUCCUUGUUUCAGUAAAAGAUGGAGCACAUCUGAAGGGCCUAAUUUAGGUGUAGCACAAAUUAAAAAAAAAACUCGUGUUUUCUGAAGUGGCAAACUGGGUUCUGGCAUCCUCCUUCCUUAGCAGGGAGAACAGAGCAUUAAAAUAUAUAAUCCUGCUCUGUUCCAAGUAAAGCUUUUACUCCAAGUGAUUGGGAUGAAAAUAUUUGUUCAGGGCAUUUAUCUUGAUUAGGGGGAAGUUACCAUUCUGAUUCCUUUCUUGGAAUUUAUGGGGAACUGACUCCCAUUAAAAUUUAUGGGCACUGGCUAGUACACAAGAUUUUUUUUCUGUAUUUAUUUUAAUCAGAGAGCAUCUUUAAAAAGAAAAUGAGGGCUCAUCUCUGGCAGCUGCACUGCCUUGGAAGC